ACAACUUCUGUAUGAAGUGCUCGGGCAUUGGAGGCUUAUAAGGGGUAGCUCGAUCGGCCUAUAGGGGUCUAGGCCGAUCGGCCUAGCCCGUUUUUGGCUCUGAUCAACCUCCCCUUUCACCAAGAGGAAGCCCACGACGUUCCUAGGGUUUUUCUUCAGAUACUUUGCCUCAAAGGCACCCCAACUGACACCGCCAACUAUAAAUACUGUUGAUGCCAGAUUUUGACACGUAUGAAAUCGGUG
Molecule: long non-coding RNA, 243 nt
Filed under: Setaria italica (foxtail millet)
Lineage: Eukaryota; Viridiplantae; Streptophyta; Magnoliopsida; Poales; Poaceae
Description: long non-coding RNA (SITA_LNC005012)
Source: RNAcentral